UGGAUGGAAAAGUAAAACUGUAAAAUAUAUUCCCUUCAGGUUCUCCUUUGAAAACAAGACUUCAAGGUAAUUAAAACCAGGCAUGGCAACCACAACACCUUCAUCAUAUCGUAUUGCGAAGAAAAUUACCCGCCACUACAAUCAUAUCUCGUUUUUACGUACAUGGCUCAUAAAAGAAUAUCCCGCUCUUUGACUUAUUUAUUACAGAGGAGAAAAAAAUGAAAGCAGUUGCUCAUCCACAAACCUAACACUGCUCAUUGUCACGGCGGUGGUACUGAUAUUCUUUUUUCUUCCGGUGGGUUUUAUCGUCUACUGGUGUACGAAAAAAAAUUAUCUGCAAUGUCAGGGAGAAGGAUUACUGGGCGCUCCCGCCAGGGCAACGACGAUACAAGCAAUUACAUACAGGUAAAGUAAUCGCUGCACACAGGGAUAGUUUAUGAAUAAGUUUCAUAGAUAAGAUUGUUAGUCUGGGGCCGGUUUUUCGAAGCCAGAGAUCAAAUACGUUCCCAUCUAAGCUGAACACACAUCAUAUGCAAUUCAUUUGCAAUUAUUAUGCAUGCAGUUCUUUUGGAAAUUGAACAUUCAAGUCUCUUAUCAGUUCACCGUUUAAGCUAAACAUCUUUCUUGGGUAGGGGCGUAAGCGAAUCGUUGUAAGGGCGUCAAUAUUUUAAAACUUCCGGCUGCAUGUCAUUUUCAUCAUUAUUGCCAUAGUAUCCUGCACAGAAUGUUUUGCACAAACCUUGUCUCGAUUGACACUGGCGGCCUGGCCCCGCCAAUGUUCUUGCUGGCCCCCCUUCCCCAAAAUCCUGGCUACGCCUCUGCCCGUGUGAUUCAAUUUUUUGAUUGAAAUUCAAUGCACCCCGAACAAAACAUUGAAUACUGUUAUAAAGUACUGUUUACAGGUCAGCUCCUGCAAAAUCAAACCUCUUCUUUUCUUAUGAAACUCGUGGAGCUGCUCACUCCUGAAGGUAGGCCAAACUGGAAAGAUCUAGCGGCAAAUUUUGGCGAUUUCGCUUACGAGGAAAUCGCGAACUUCGGAGUUGGCAAAACUACAGUGGAGACCAAAAUCACGUCAACCAUCGACAAAUUAUAUAGAUGUUGUCUCAACAUUAAGAAGGAAGAUGUGGCGACGUACAUUGCCGAUUGUGUAAGCCAAAUAACAGACACUACACUUGUGUAGACAAUUGGCCUUUUUUGACAGGCGAUAUCCGCCGUUUCCUGCAUGCCUAUAUGGGUACCAAGUGAGCACACGACUUCGUUUCGACGUGGAAUUUUGGUUGAACUUUUGU
This is a long non-coding RNA of Dendronephthya gigantea, 1289 nucleotides long. RefSeq lists it as uncharacterized. The transcript has 3 exons. Lineage: Eukaryota; Metazoa; Cnidaria; Anthozoa; Malacalcyonacea; Nephtheidae. The record is from RefSeq and is a predicted model, not a curated record.